This 382-nucleotide ribosomal RNA is filed under the name uncultured eukaryote. Its description in RNAcentral is "partial 18S ribosomal RNA". It matches the Rfam family "Eukaryotic small subunit ribosomal RNA", at positions 592 to 976 of the family's 1831-position model. The record is from RNAcentral.
UGUAAGCGUAUACCAAAGUUGUUGCAGUUAAAACGCCCGUAGUCGGAAUUUGGCAGUUCCGGAUGUGUGCACGUCGUGUGCGCACUUCGCGGGGAUUGCUUUUGUGGUCUUGCGUAGGAUGAGGCACUUUUAUUAGUGAACGUCCUCACGCAACCACUUUUUACUGUGAGAAAAUCAGAGUGCUCAAAGCAGGCAUUUGCCGUGAAUGUAUUAGCAUGGAAUAAUAGAAUAGGACUUGGUUCUAUUUUGUUGGUUUGUUGGGACUGAGUAAUGAUUAAGAGGGACAGUUGGGGGCAUUUGUAUUUCGGUGCUAGAGGUGAAAUUCUUAGAUUACCGAAAGACAAACUGCUGCGAAAGCGUCUGCCAAGGAUGUUUUCAUUGA